This is a long non-coding RNA of Rhincodon typus (whale shark), 295 nucleotides long. RefSeq lists it as uncharacterized. The record is from RefSeq and is a predicted model, not a curated record. The transcript has 3 exons. Lineage: Eukaryota; Metazoa; Chordata; Chondrichthyes; Orectolobiformes; Rhincodontidae.
AAUAAAACAAGUAGACUCAAAACCUUUUUUUGUGCCUCUUUGCACAUUUUCUUGUACUUCAGCCAUACUGCUGUGCAUCGAUUAACUGAAGAAGAAGUGUUUCUAAACCAGGACAACAUACAUCAUCUACUUAAUACAAGAGCUACAUUCUGUUGUGGUAUCAACAGUGACAUGGAAAAGUUGGUGAGGACGUGCAAAGUGUGGUGAUGGAACAUUGGGACCACAAUUGAUAUACUGACAACAUGUCUGUAGACCAAGGCAAAUCUACAUUUUUGGAAUGUUACAUCAUAAAAAA